RNAcentral lists this ribosomal RNA (371 nucleotides) under uncultured organism. RNAcentral describes it as "bacterial SSU rRNA". It matches the Rfam family "Bacterial small subunit ribosomal RNA", at positions 526 to 896 of the family's 1533-position model. The record is from RNAcentral.
CGAAGGGUGCAAGCGUUACUCGGAAUUACUGGGCGUAAGCGUGCGUAGGUGGUUCGUUAAGUCUGAUGUGAAAGCCCUGGGCUCAACCGGGGAAUGGCAUUGGAUACUGGCGACCUAGAGUGCGGUAGAGGGUGGCGGAAUUCCCGGUGUAGCAGUGAAAUGCGUAGAUAUCGGGAGGAACAUCCGUGGCGAAGGCGGCCACCUGGACCAGCACUGACACUGAGGCACGAAAGCGUGGGGAGCAAACAGGAUUAGAUACCCUGGUAGUCCACGCCCUAAACGAUGCGAACUGGAUGUUGGGUGCAACUUGGCACUCAGUAUCGAAGCUAACGCGUUAAGUUCGCCGCCUGGGAAGUACGGUCGCAAGACUG